GGGGCGCCGGGGAGCCGGGCGCGCGCUUCCGGGAGGUGCCACGCGGGCGGGCGCCGCGGGAGCGCGCUGCUCAGGUGGCGCGGCGUCGCUCCCGCGCGCCUCCCGCCCCUCGUCGUCAAGGUGUCCUCCCGUGGGGCUCGGAGAGGACGCCUGAGGGAGCCGGCGGCGCGGCGGCCCCCGCGAGCCCCCUGCCUGGAGCUGCCGCCCGGGAGGCCCCCACGCUGCGGAGGACCGGCUGCACGCGGGAACCACGGGGAAGGGGCUCCUCUCGGUUUUCCAGAGUGAAAGUUCGCCUCGCUCUCAGGUUGCCUCACACAGAACAGACAGGGGUUGAAAGCAGCACAGAUCGUCCGGUCCUGUUGCUCUAAUCCUGUCAUUUUCUACGGCCACUGCUAACGGCGAAGCGUUGAUCCUGGUGCACCAGUUUAAAAAAAAUUAAAGGAGCAUUUUCCACCUAUUAGUAUUCUCUGGGAGAAAGUACGUGUUUAAAAUACCCCCGGGUUUCUGAAGAUGAACGGGGUAAAGUAAAAAGAAGUACUCUGAGCUUGGCUUGAGAAAUGAAUGGUUCACUGAAAAAUGAGUUAUUUCAAACAUCUUUGAAAAGUAGACAGUUUUAACUGUCUCACAGAUAUUGAGAAGCGAGAGUAAAAGAAGUGUCCUUAGAAUUAAACCUUUUUAAAAUACUCAAAAAGCUGCUUUUUAAAGGGAAUUCAGUUGCCUCAAAAUGGAUGUACAUAUUCUAAAGAUAAGGCAGACAUUUCUCUGAUUUUCUGAAUUGCUGAUUUGUGAACUUUUAGGGUUAGAGGUAACAUCUGUGGCCUGUUGCUGAAAUCCCUGAAAAAAAUAUAAUAAAACACCUCAGAUCUCAGUAAGUCUGAACUAAGGGAGUGAGAGGCCCCUGCAGGAUCAAGAGAACAUUCACUUGGCCUUUCACCAUCUCUGUUUUGAAUGUGGGAGGCAUGAUUAAGCCACCAAAAUCCUCUGGUAAGAUUGCGCUUCCUUGGAUUUAGACAGAGUUGAAGUUAAUACAUCUAGUUUAUAGGUACUUAACAGUUUGUUGGAUAAAUACCUUCCAAUAAGAGGCAGAUGGCAAGAAUGAAAAUCCCUCACGGUAUGGUCAGAGUCUAAAGGAUCUAGGACAUGGUUUGUGUCUUGUGCAUUUUUUAUGGAACCAAAAGUAGAUACAAAACAACUAACUACUUAAAAACAAAUUAUACACUUUUUAAAAUCUUUCUCUAGCAUUUUUGCCACCUCCUGCUUUUAUUUGGAAGUUUACUGCAGAAAGAACCAGAAUGAAGGCAGAAGAGGAAACUUGAGCUAGCCCAGCCCUGGCUGACGUGCAGCCCCUGUGGAUUGCCUCGCAGAUGUGCAGCUUACUGAGGGUGCUUUGGGCCCUGCUGCCCAUCACUUCAUAGACUGCUCAACAGAAUAUACAUUCAUACAUUGAAACCGUAGCAGUAAACAGAAGAGAGAGAUUGAGUGUGUUGGCUCAGGCCUCUAAUUUCAGCUAAGAAUGAUCUCAAAGUCAAGACCUACUGGACAACUUAAUGAAAGCCUAUCUCAAAAAUCUGUCUCAAAAACGUUGGGAAUAUAUGUAGCUCGGUGGUAAAGAAUGCUCGCCUAGCAUGUGUGAGAUCCUGGCUUCAGUCCCCAGUACAGAAAGAGAGGAGGGAAGCUGAAUUCAGAGCUCAGAACAGGAAGCUUUCUUCGUAACUCAGAAGAACUCAAGCAGAAAGAAUGUAGUUUCAUACUGAGAUCAAGAUUAUCAUCUAUGAACUCUUACCUGCAUACAAAGAAAACCUGAGAGCAGAGAUGGGAUGGAAUUUUCUUUUAUCAGGAGACAAUCCACCCAAUUGUAACUUGUUGGCAUUUUUUUACAUAUAUAGGUUAAAUGAUAACUUAUGGGAAAGUACAGCCUGUGUGACCGGCAGUGUACCAAUGCGUACCUCUGGAGCUUGAAUUUUAACUCUUCUUUAGCACAGCUUAUGAAAGCAUGGGCUGAAAAUUCAAGUCUCUAACUUGCCUCCUCUUGUAUGAAAGUCAAACGUUUUUCUAGUUACUUCUCACGGUUUUUCAAAACUUUCAUACAUGAGUCGUGUAUUCGCAUCAUUCCCACUCCCCUCUUCCUCCCACUCACUCCCUCUAAGUCUGAGACCUUUUCUUCCGUAACUACAGCCACGCCUGGAGUUAUGCCCCAUGUACUGUUGCUCACAUGCACAUAUGUGUGGCUGACCCAGAGAAGGAGGGUGAGUUUUCUCCAGGCCCGAAACCCCCGGAAGGUCACACAGGCAUUACUUCUAUUAAUAAAGAGGGCU
Long non-coding RNA from Psammomys obesus (fat sand rat), 2315 nucleotides. RefSeq lists it as uncharacterized. Lineage: Eukaryota; Metazoa; Chordata; Mammalia; Rodentia; Muridae. The record is from RefSeq and is a predicted model, not a curated record. The transcript has 3 exons.